Condylura cristata (star-nosed mole) is the source of this 712-nucleotide long non-coding RNA. RefSeq lists it as uncharacterized. The transcript is spliced from 3 exons. The record is from RefSeq and is a predicted model, not a curated record. NCBI's taxonomy places the organism in Eukaryota, Metazoa, Chordata, Mammalia, Eulipotyphla, Talpidae.
CCAGCUUCACAGUGCUGCGCUUUGACCUGUUGCACCAUCAGGGAGGGAACUCGUUGGAUUUUUAAAAUGCAGACCCAUACCGUGUGAGUUGACGCACUUGCAGUUCUUGGAUUGUGCCAUUUAUCUUGUGAUGCUUUGUGGUUGUGACUGUCCCCUCUUUCAUAAGUGCCACCUCUUCCCUUCUGCCUCAAAACCUGGAAAAAUUAGAUUCCUUAAAAAUGCCCUUUAGCCCAAGGGGGCUCUCCUGGUGCUCGCAAAGCUCUGACCCAGCCCUCGCCACACUCUACGGCAUUACUUUGUGUUUUCAUUACUGAGGAAAAGCAUUCUUUCUCCUUGGUAAUCCUAACACUUGGCCGCUAGGUCCUUUUGCCAUAGAUUAAGUGAAGCUUAGCAUUUCAAUUCACCGAGUCAGUGUCAUGCUGGUCUUUGCUGUUCUUUUUUUCUUUCCACAUAUAUUUUUAAUAUUCAAAAAGUAUUUUUUUAAAGAAGGUGUCAUAUAAGGUCACUGUCUUCAUGGUGUUUCAGCUCCAGUUCACCUGGGUCUAAAACGAGCGCUUUAAGAUUUAGGAUUGCGCGCUUCCCAUCAAGAGCUUCAUUGAGGUAUAAUUGACACACACCGUUCUGUAAGUUGAACGUGUGCACGUUUGUACUGUGAAAUGAUCGCCACGACACGUGGAUUUAGGCCCUCCCUGGUGGCGCAGCGCUGAGAAGC